UUUUCUAAGACAGGGUCUCUCUAUGAAGUCCCGGCUGGCCUCGAACUUGAGACCUUCCUGCCUCUGCCUGCCAAGUGCUUUGGUUACUGAUGUGUGUUCCUAUGCCCAACCAGCAAACAGUUUUUAAUUUACAUUAUCUUAUUUUUAAAUUAUGUGUCUGUGUGGGGUGUGCGCGCGCGAGUACAGAUAGUCUCACAGGCCAGGAGAGGGUGUCAGAUGCCCUGGAGCUGGAGUGAUAGGCAGCUGUGAGCCACUCUGCAGGAACAGUGUGUGCUGUUCGCUGCUGAGCCAUCUCUCAAACACUUGUUGCAGGCCUGCACAUGUGUAGCCGCUCAUGGGGUGAACGUGGUGCGUGUGGGGGUCAGAGGACAACUUUUGGGGGUAAAUUCUUCCCGUCUGCCAUGGAGGGUUCCAAGUCAGGACAUCAGGCUUGGCGGGAUGAGUGGAAAACUCCUGAAGGCUGGGAUCGUGUCUGCCCAGCCUCGAGCACCCUACUCUGGGCCCCUGGUAAUUUCCACCAGACUGGAAGGAGAAACAGAUCCCGGCCUGGCAGUAACACACGUGUACUCUGUCUGCUCUGGGAAGGGCUGGAUUGUUCAGAGGUUUUUAAAAGAUUUGUCCUGGAAUGGGGGUGGGGGGUGGUGGAGGAAGCUGACCCCAAACCCAGGAGAAGAUGGUAUGGGUUAGAAGCCCAGGUAAGCUCGGAGGAUCUUCGGAUGUUCAGCUCCCGGUGCAUCUUGUCAUCCGACAUGAUGCUGGUAACUCCAUCGGCCCACCUCCCUCUCAGUCAGCUGGGCAGACUCAGGGUCUGGCUUACGAGGACUUCUAGAAAGCAUUGAUUAUUGCUAGCUCAUAAAAUGGCCCCUUGGAAGGGAUGUUUGAAUUUUUAAAUUACGUUUUGUUUAUCUCUGUGGUUCUUUCCUUCCCUAUAUGGGUCUGUGAGAUGGAACCCAGGUUGUGGAGUUUGACUGCAAAAAUGCCUCGAUUAGACGAGCCAUCUCCAGGGCUCCUGGAACAGGCUUGUAAACCAAGCUAAGGUUCAGGGCAGCCUGUCAAUCUGUCACUCGGUGACUUAGGCAGAAGGACAGACAGAAGGGUGGGCUGCAUGAGGCCCUGUCUCAGAACCAAAGGAUCUUGGACCAGUGAGAGGGUUCAGCGGGUGAAGGCAUUUGCCGCACAAGCCUGUUCAUCUGAGUUCAGUUCCCAGGUCCCACAUAAAGGAGGAAAGAGAAGAUGUCUCAAGUUUCCCCUCUGACCUCCAUGUGCCCAUCAUAGUACAACAAGAGCCAGGCAUAAUGGUGUCCACCUUUAGUCCCAGCACUCUUGGAGGCAGAGGCAGGAGGAUCUCUGAGUUUGGGGCCAGCCUGGUCUACACUGCUAAUUCCAAGACAUCCCGGGCCACACAUGGAAACCCUGUUUUGAAAACCAAUAAAUAAACAACGUAAGCAAAUAAAAAAUUUAAGUAACA
This is a long non-coding RNA of Rattus norvegicus (Norway rat), 1468 nucleotides long. RefSeq lists it as uncharacterized. The record is from RefSeq and is a predicted model, not a curated record. Lineage: Eukaryota; Metazoa; Chordata; Mammalia; Rodentia; Muridae.